UACGUAGGGACCGAGCGUUGUCCGGAUUCAUUGGGCGUAAAGAGCUCGUAGGCGGCUAUUCAAGUCGAACGUGAAAUCUCGGAGCUCAACUCCGAAACUGCGUUCGAUACUGGGCAGCUAGAGUCUGGUAGGGGGAUCUGGAAUUCCUGGUGUAGCGGUGGAAUGCGCAGAUAUCAGGAGGAACACCGGUGGCGAAGGCGGGAUCCUGGGCCAGUACUGACGCUGAGGAGCGAAAGCGUGGGGAGCAAACGGG
This 253-nucleotide ribosomal RNA is filed under the name uncultured bacterium. RNAcentral describes it as "partial 16S ribosomal RNA". It matches the Rfam family "Bacterial small subunit ribosomal RNA", at positions 524 to 776 of the family's 1533-position model. The record is from RNAcentral.